AUGUUCACUAUGGCAGCACAUAUACUAAAAUUAGAAAGCUACAGAGAUUAGCAUGGCCUCUGUGCAAGGAUGACAUACAAAUUUGUGAAGCAUCUUUAUUUAUU
Molecule: small nuclear RNA, 104 nt
Organism: Colobus angolensis palliatus
Lineage: Eukaryota; Metazoa; Chordata; Mammalia; Primates; Cercopithecidae
Source: Ensembl